Molecule: long non-coding RNA, 1344 nt
Organism: Phyllostomus discolor (pale spear-nosed bat)
Lineage: Eukaryota; Metazoa; Chordata; Mammalia; Chiroptera; Phyllostomidae
Exons: 2
Source: RefSeq, a predicted model, not a curated record
GUUAAGGCUUUUAGAGGUUGUUCUUGCUGACCAAAAGCAUUCCAUGACGUUUCUCAUGUUCAAUUUCAGUCAGCAUUGCAGGUUUUCUCAAAAAACUGUUUACUGCCAUCGAGACACUUUGUGGUUAUUAAGGGAGGGAGAAAACAGAGCACAUGACAUCGCCACCCUCCUAAGAUGUCUCAUUAGAAACAAUAUUUGGAUGAAGCGGUUGUUAGAGGUCAGGCAAGAGAAGAAGGAAUAUGAAAACCCUUGUUUUGAUUUUUAAUCUAAUCAGCUGGAGUUUGUUAUUUCUCACCAGAGUAUGCAAAGCACACACCAUCAGCCCCAGAUGCAUCUGGUGUACAUUUGGCAGGUUUUGUUUUUUCAGUCCAAUGUGAGCCUUCCAGGAAGGCGAAGGCAGGGGCUGUUCUCCCGUGUCUGAUUAGGCCAUGAUUCCACCCCUGUCACACCCCUAAAGACCCUGGUUUUGGUAUUAAGACAUCCUAACAUCAGGCUCUUGUACUGAUUUACCCGCUGUUUUUCUGCGUAGGGCUGCUUGUUAGAGGGAACAAAUGUGAAGUGUCUGGGUCAUGUCCCCUUCCCCGGGAGACAGAAGCUCUUGGCUCACUGCUGUUUGGCUAAGUGCAUCAUGCCACACUCAACAUUUUCCUCAUGUCAGCUAUUUUAGAGAGAGAUGGCUUCUGUUGACCCUGAUACCAGCUUAUCAUCCGGGAGAGCCUCUCUUCAGGAAUGAAAAGAGAAUCUGUGUCAUCAUUUACCCGUGGAUAAAAGUUUUGAUCUUUUGAUCGACUCUGGCCAGGUGGCUCAUUUGGUUGAAGCAUCAUCCCAUACACCAAAAGGUUGUGGGCUUGCUCGUGUUCUCUCCCCCGCCUUCCUUCCUUUCUUUCUAGUAUCAAUAAUCACAUCCUCAGGUGAAGAAAAAUAAACAAAUAUUAAAAAUUUUUGGUUGGUGAGGAGAAACCAAACCAAUUAGCUAAACACAAGUUUUUGAAUGCCCUCAGAAUUACAACUAUAUUGUUCAUUCUGGUCCUGUCCCAUAUUUGUAUCAAAACCAUUGAUCUGUGUGCUUUAGCUCUUGGUAGAAAAACAUUUAUCUGUGAUAUAGCUAAAAAAUAUUUUUGGGUUUUUUUGGGGGUAUGGGUAUGUAGUAAAGUAUAGUGAUUUAAUGGAAAUGUAGAAAUGUUAUUGAACAUAUACGCUAAGACAGCUUUGCAUAUUUAUUCACUGUAUCUACUAUGAAAUAUAAAAAUAUGUUGGUAGUUUUUGUAUUAACAUGUAUUAUGUAUAUGAGUACAAUUCUGUAGAUCAAAAUUCUCUGUCAAAAUUAAAAAUAUCAAAAUACCA